GCAUUGGUGGCUUAGUGGUAAAAUUCUCACCCUCCAUGUGGGAGACCAGGGUUUGAUUCCCAGUCAAGGCA
Molecule: transfer RNA, 71 nt
Filed under: Loxodonta africana (African savanna elephant)
Lineage: Eukaryota; Metazoa; Chordata; Mammalia; Proboscidea; Elephantidae
Rfam family: tRNA
About the family: Transfer RNA (tRNA) molecules are approximately 80 nucleotides in length.
Source: Rfam by way of RNAcentral